RNAcentral lists this ribosomal RNA (435 nucleotides) under uncultured bacterium. RNAcentral describes it as "partial 16S ribosomal RNA". It matches the Rfam family "Bacterial small subunit ribosomal RNA", at positions 28 to 507 of the family's 1533-position model. The record is from RNAcentral.
GAUGAACGCUGGCGGUAUGCUUAACACAUGCAAGUCGAACGGACUCUUCGGAGUUAGUGGCGGACGGGUGAGUAACGCGUGAGAAUCUGGCUUUGGGUUCGGGACAACCACUGGAAACGGUGGCUAAUACCGGAUGUGCCGAGAGGUAAAAGAGAAAUUGCCUGAAGAUGAGCUCGCGUCUGAUUAGCUAGUUGGUGAGGUAAAGGCUCACCAAGGCAGCGAUCAGUAGCUGGUCUGAGAGGAUGACCAGCCACACUGGGACUGGGACACGGCCCAGACGCCUACGGGAGGCAGCAGUGGGGAAUUUUCCGCAAUGGGCGAAAGACUGACGGAGCAAUACCGCGUGAGGGAAGAAGGCUCUUGGGUUGUAAACCUCUUUUCUUAGGGAAGAACAAAAUGACGGUACCUAAGGAAUCAGCAUCGGCUAACUCCGUG